AAAGUCGUAACAAGGUUUCCGUAGGUGAACCUGCGGAAGGAUCAUUAACACGUAUCCACGUUUAUCACCCGUGAACUUUCUUAGGAUAGCUGCUUUCAAGUAAUUGGAGGGAGCUUCCUAAGUAACACUAACUCUUUCUUUUCAGUUUCACUUCGGUGACUCAGGAAAGACUAGAGAGAGUACUAAACUUGAGGGACAUCUCUUUCGGGAGGAGUCUCUGAAGUUAUGUAAACCCCUUUUUUUUCAACUAAAAGCCGUCUCUUUGUGGACCGCUUUUAACCGAAUGCUGUACAACUCUUAGCAACGGAUAUCUUGGUUCUG
This 321-nucleotide unclassified non-coding RNA is filed under the name Basidiomycota sp. RNAcentral's name for it is "partial contains small subunit ribosomal RNA, internal transcribed spacer 1, and 5.8S ribosomal RNA". The stretch from base 1 to 47 matches the Rfam family "Eukaryotic small subunit ribosomal RNA", at positions 1785 to 1831 of the family's 1831-position model. The record is from RNAcentral. Lineage: Eukaryota; Fungi; Basidiomycota.